GCUGGGCAUGGUGAUGUAUGUCUAUAGUCUCAGCUAUUGGGGAGGCUGAGGCAGCAGGAUCAUUUGAACUCAGGAGUUCUGGGCUGGAGUGCACUUAGCCAGGCAGGUGACCUCACUAAGCUCAGCAUCAAUAUGGGUGACCUCCUGGGAGUGAGACAUCAUCAGCUUGCUCAAGGAGGAGUGAACCAUCCCAGGUAGGAAACAGAGUAGGACAAAACUCCUGUGCUGAUCAGUAUUGAGAUCGUGCCUGUGAAUAACCAACGAACUCUAGCCUGGGCAACAUAGGCUCUUAU
This 293-nucleotide signal recognition particle RNA is filed under the name Carlito syrichta (Philippine tarsier). Its description in RNAcentral is "Metazoan signal recognition particle RNA (ENSTSYG00000027350.1)". It matches the Rfam family "Metazoan signal recognition particle RNA". From Rfam's summary of the family: The signal recognition particle (SRP) is a universally conserved ribonucleoprotein. It is involved in the co-translational targeting of proteins to membranes. Lineage: Eukaryota; Metazoa; Chordata; Mammalia; Primates; Tarsiidae. The record is from RNAcentral.